UACAGAGGCCUCGAGCGUUUAGGCGGAAUCACUGGGCUUAAAGCGUGUGUAGGCGGACUUCUAAGUACCUUGUGAAAUCCCACGGCUCACCCGUGGAACUGCUCGGUAUACUGGUCGUCUUGAGCCUUCUAGGGGCGAGUGGAACAAAUGGUGGAGCGGUGAAAUGCGUAGAUAUCAUUUGGAACGCCAAUGGUGAAAACAACUCGCUGGGGGAAGUGCUGACGCUGAGACACGGAAAGCCAGGGGAGCGAACGGG
RNAcentral lists this ribosomal RNA (256 nucleotides) under uncultured bacterium. RNAcentral's name for it is "partial 16S ribosomal RNA". It matches the Rfam family "Bacterial small subunit ribosomal RNA", at positions 524 to 776 of the family's 1533-position model. The record is from RNAcentral.